This 110-nucleotide ribosomal RNA is filed under the name Riccia inflexa. RNAcentral's name for it is "partial 5.8S ribosomal RNA". It matches the Rfam family "5.8S ribosomal RNA", at positions 45 to 154 of the family's 154-position model. Rfam says of the family: 5.8S ribosomal RNA (5.8S rRNA) is a component of the large subunit of the eukaryotic ribosome. The record is from RNAcentral. Lineage: Eukaryota; Viridiplantae; Streptophyta; Marchantiopsida; Marchantiales; Ricciaceae.
GCAGCGANNUGCGAUACCUAGUGUGAAUUGCAGAAUUCCGCGAAUCAUCGAGUUUUUGAACGCAUAUUGCGCCCGAGGUUCACGCCGAGGGCACGUCUGUCUGAGCGUCA